RNAcentral lists this long non-coding RNA (234 nucleotides) under Salvia miltiorrhiza (redroot sage). RNAcentral describes it as "long non-coding RNA (SMIL_LNC010074)". Lineage: Eukaryota; Viridiplantae; Streptophyta; Magnoliopsida; Lamiales; Lamiaceae. The record is from RNAcentral.
ACUAGGAACCUAAUCUUGACCUUUUAAAUAUUAGAUCUAAUGGUUAGGAUUUAGUCAACAAAAGAAACUGUGCAUCUAUUAUAUUUUUACUGUGCACUUAAAAAAAAUAUGCAAUUUAUGCAAAUUGAAAACCAACAAUGCAAAAUACUCAAGCAAAUCGAAAUUGUGCAUUUAUGCAAUUGAAACUGUGCAUCUAUGCAAUCGAAAUUGUGCAUCUGUAGUUUAAUCUCAGCC